UCCCUCGUAUUGUUUCCACAAAAUGUACAAUUAAAGUUACCUCAGUUACGACUCAUUUCACCCCUCUUAUUGUUCCCUCAGUUACUGAGUAAACAUUUGUCCCUCGUAUUGUUCCCUCAAAUUAGUGUCAGACAAAGGAUUGAAAUCAACAAAGUGAACCACAAGAAUUAGUUAAUCCAUAUGUACCAAAUUCUUGAAAUGAUUUUCCUAAAAGGAUUAGCAAAAUUUCCUUGUUAGUACAUACUUGGCUACAUUGACUUCGGUCAGAAGUCACAAAAUCAUGCUAGUACAUUGAUAUCAGACAAAAUAGACCUUCCGUAAAAUGCAUUAAACAAGGCUAUUAAUUUCUUACUUGGUAAUACAUCACCAUAGCACUUGAGAGUUCUUAGAAAAGUCAAGUUACAGAGACAAUUUGCUACACUAUUUGGCAACAAGAUAGAGAAUUCUUUAUAGCAGGGACACAUCUUAUUUAAAAUAACAAAGACGAAAAGAGUUGAACUUCGGUAAUUAGAAGACAGCAUCAUCUUAAACAAAGAUUUAAAUCCGUCUUUUUCCCUAUUAAGUUUCACCUAAGAAGACAAGUAAAAGUACACCCGAGAUCAAACACUACCCCAGCAAGGAUUAGGCACAUUCUGCUGCCAUUAUUUCCAUGUCCCUGGUCCUCUUUAUGAUUACUCCAUCUAGAGGCAAAAUAGACUCGGUCAAGAGCACCAAAAUUAGUCCAGAAGAAAAAUAUAGAUAGUAGGUAGACCGUAAGACCUGAAGAAAAAUACAGCUAGAAACUAGGAACAAGGACAAAAUCAAUAGUAGUCUAGAAGAAAAUAAACAGUUAGCUACCUAUUAGCAGCAGCAAGAAAAGCCAAAAUCAGAUACUAGGCAGACCGUAAUACCCAUUCCAGAAGUUUAUCUUUUUGCCUUAUUAAGUUUAACCUAUAAAACAUUAAUUAAAGAAGCCCCUACAUCAAACAAUAACCCUGGGAUGCAUUCACAUCUUAAACAAAGCUUUAGAUCCCAAUCGAUUUCUCUAGAUUCCCCUGUUCAUUGGUAUCUCCAAUCUACUCGCGUGAUCAUAACAACUUAACGUGUUUCCUCAACAGCUUUGUCCUUCCAACCCACUUCAUGUCAACUUUAGUACCAAACUGAAAGAAGAUUCACAUUGACUAAAUAUGCAACAGAAUGAAAAGAUAGUCCUUGAGAUAAUUAACAGUAAGAUAUAAGCAGCAAGGAAAAGGACCAAACUAGAUAGUAUGUCUUACUUUAACUCUUAUUCAGUAAUUCCCGUAUUUCGUCUUUUCCCUAUUUAAGUUUCACCUAAGAAGACAAGUAAAAAUAAGCCCGAGAUCAAACACUACCCUAGCAAGGUACUCCCUUAUAAAGUGGCUCAAGAACACCAAAACAAGUCCAGAAGAAACAUACAGAUAGUAGGUAGACCAUAAUACCUGAAGAAAAACACAGCUAGUAACUACGACUGUAGGAGCAAGGACAAAAUCAAAACUGGUACAGAAGAUAAUAAACAGUUAGCUACCUAUUAGCAGAAGCAUGAAAAGCCAAAAUCAGAUACUAUGCAGACCGUAAUACCUAUUCCAGAAGUACCG
RNAcentral lists this long non-coding RNA (1595 nucleotides) under Solanum tuberosum (potato). RNAcentral's name for it is "long non-coding RNA (STUB_LNC008969)". Lineage: Eukaryota; Viridiplantae; Streptophyta; Magnoliopsida; Solanales; Solanaceae. The record is from RNAcentral.